GAAGGUAUAGCUCAAGCACCAGAGCACGUGCCUAGCAUGCACAAAGUCCUGGGUUCAAUCCCCAGGACCUCCU
This 73-nucleotide transfer RNA is filed under the name Camelus bactrianus (Bactrian camel). It matches the Rfam family "tRNA". From Rfam's summary of the family: Transfer RNA (tRNA) molecules are approximately 80 nucleotides in length. The record is from Rfam by way of RNAcentral. RNAcentral also lists the same sequence under 2 other names. Lineage: Eukaryota; Metazoa; Chordata; Mammalia; Artiodactyla; Camelidae.